Molecule: long non-coding RNA, 236 nt
Organism: Diorhabda carinulata
Lineage: Eukaryota; Metazoa; Arthropoda; Insecta; Coleoptera; Chrysomelidae
Exons: 2
Source: RefSeq, a predicted model, not a curated record
CCGGUAACCUAACCUAACCUACUGAAUAAAUUACUUGGUAACUAUCUUUUCAGUGAAUUAAAUUUGAAAACAUGGAUGAUAAUAUUUCUCUACCAUUGAUAUUAAAGUAUUGUUUUAAAGAUAUAAAAAAGGAUGCUGGAAGUGAGAAUAAUAAUAUAUCGGCUGUUUGCAAGAAAUGCUCUAAAACAUUAAAAGGAAGUCUAAUUUCAACUACAAAUUUUUUAAAUCAUAUAAAA